GACAAUUAUAAACAAGUGGUGCUUAAUGCAGUGGCAUUCUGGGGGUCCUUGUUGCCUUGGGAAGGCCUUUCUGAUGCAUCCCCCAAACCUGGCCAAGGCCAUUUGUGCUCUCUACACUAGCAGAGAUGAAAUUGUGAUUUAAAAACUGAAAUUUCAUCUCUUAAAGUUACCAGGAGCAGUGUUUUGCCUUCCUAGUAACUUGGGGGCUGCUGUAAUUGAAUAAUUCAACUUGUCUCAUGGCAUUAGAGCCCCUGGCUUAAUGAUGUCAUCAUUUCUGAUGCCAAGUCUUUUGUGACAUAUGACUCACUUCUGUGUGUUAAAAAAUAUGCUACAGCCUAUAGGGUUAUUUGGACAAUGCCUCAUACAAUGGGCAGGUUUUGCACCGUGCACACUGUGAGGGGCAUUGUGCCUAAGCCCUAUAAUCUGUAGCAUAUUUCUUAGCACACAGAAGUUUCAGUGAGUCAUAUGGACAUCACAUGACAACAGAAAUGACGACAUCAUUAAAUCUCCACUUAUUUAUGUUUAAACAUUAGCAGUUACAACACAAGAUCAUAGAGGAAAGUAAAUUGCUGGGAAUGAUGACUGUCAGGAAAGCGGCAAAUCUGGAGAGUUGCACAAACCGAGAUGAAGAAACAUUCUAUCCUGGUAUCUGCUGAUAUGGCAAGAAAUGUUAUCAGAUGGGCAUAUGUCUAAGAAGAUUUUCUUCUCCCAUUAAGGUGGGGAAACAAUCAUUUUCGGAGCUCUAUUUUUACCCAGGAGGACAGUGAGCAACCUAUCCUGAUUAUACAGGUAUAUGACCUGUUGCUCAGGGCGUGAAGUUUUCCUGAUAAGGGAUCUUUCUGUAUUUUGGAUCACCAUACAUUGUCUGCUUAGUGCUUGCAAGCCCCUUCAGGGUUGGACUGGGCCAAAUGGACAAAUGGAAAAAACUUGACGGGCCCUGCCAACCCAGACCUGCACCCUGCUGAAGACUGCAUGUUCUCGCUGUUCUCUCCCUGACCUCCCCUGAUUGUAGCUGACAGAAGUUAAAGAUACCCAAGGGGGUGGGAGGAGAGUAGUGCCUGGGGGGGCCUUGGGGUGUGUGUGGGCCCCUGAGGUGGUAGUCCCGGUGGGCCUUUGACCCCCAGUCCAACACAGACCCCUUGCCCCCCUGAUAUUAGUUUUUUUGUAUUAGAGAGGGUGGAGGUGGGCCAUAUUGCACUAGAGGAGCCACAAUUCUGAUUUAAAAAUUGGCAUUUCAUCUCUUGAAUUUACCAGGAGUGUUUUUUUCAGCCCCAGGUUACUUGCUCCUUCUGAGGCUCGACUCGACUCAUAACAGCAGUGCCUCUGAGUUUUGCCAAUAAUAUGGAGUCAUGCAGCUUAUCUUGCAUCAAGCACAAGGUACUUUUUUAUUAUUACAGAGAAAAUGAAAUCUUUUUUAAUAAUUAGAAUUAUUUGCUUAAAAUGGUCCUGUACUUCGGAGCUUUGGGUAUAAAGGGUUUCUGGAUAAGGGAUCCCAUACCUGUACUGCAACAACCCGAUGCUUUCCAUAUGUCUGGAGGGGGGCAGAGGAGAAAAGGACACAUGACAUCCCAAUCAUUCAACUACAUGGUUGCCUGUUGUGUUGUUUUUUGUGCAAUUACAGGAUCAUUAGAAAAGAAGAAUUGGCAACACAUUCUUUAUUGGCAGAAGACAAUUUCACUUGCAUAGCAUCGGGGUAUAAAAGGAUCAGCUGUACUUUGUUCCAUGUUUCUACUCUUUGUGAUCUAGUUAAUGAUCAGCUCUACAAUGCGUUAUAAUGUGAGACAGUAAUGGCAGGUGGCCCAUAGGACGGUUAGAAAAUUCAGAUGUAAAUAUAAACCACACUUGUUAUACAUUGAGCUUACAUUGAGGGUUUUUUGAGUUCUUUCUCAGAUAUGUGGAAUUUCUUUCUCAUGCUGAGUGAGUGCUAAGGAAAGGCUGUCUCAUGCAAAGAGAAAUGAAACCCCCGCUCCUGUUUAGAGAAAGAGAACAAUUUUCAUUGUGACUAGGCCAAUAUGCAGCUAUUGCUUCCUGCUAGCAAUUCUAUUUACAGGCAAGUGAGCAGAAUGCUAAUCCAGGACACACUGUGGUCAAGACAAUUACUGAUUUUCACCACAACUGUGAAUUUGCAAAUAUAUGUAGAACUGGAUAAGGUAUAAGUCAUUGCUAUAACAUUCUGGACCCAUGGAGAAGAGUUGUCUCAUUUACAGUAAAACUGCAGUUAUUAAUCCCAAUGGGGCUUCUAUCCUCCUGGGCCCCCCUUUAGCAGCUAAGUGAGGGUAAUAUUAGACUCACUCUCAGUGCUCUGUAUUCCUCUAGCAACUCUUUUUUUUCAUUCUGCCUUUAUUCCUUUUGUGUCUAGCCAUAAACACUCAAACUGAACUAAAGCAGAACCAGUGGCAUGGUUAGAAAUAACUGGGACCCACAACAAAAUGAUUUGAGGGCCCCCUAAAAUUUGGGAAUUAGAUAAAUCUCUUAAAUAUACACUGAAACUGCUUAUUAGUUAAGCCCCUAUACUUUUUGGCACCUCCCCCCCAGCUAGGGUUGCCACCUUUUUUAAAAAAUUUUACUGGCUGCUGGGGGGCGGGGACACAAAGGGGCGGGCCGUGAUGUCAAAAGGGGUGGGGCCGCGCCACGGACGCUUGAAGAAGUAAAGAAAAGGUCCUCUGAUAGUGAUCUUCCUGUCUCGCUUCCCAACUGCUGUCUGGCUGCAGGAGUGCUGUCAGUUCUGAAUUUGAUACAAUGCCUCCAUACUCCUCUAUACUUCAUACUUGCAUUUAGCAGUCAUGCCAAUAAACCAUAGUAUUUACUCUCAUGAUAUUGUCCUUGUCUUUAUACUUAUGUGUACAGUUACAGUUACAUUAUACCACACCUAUCCUAUGUAUGAGAACAUUGAGCAAAAGGGGUUCUGGUGGAAGAACACCUACUCUGCUUUAUACCUCCUCUACUAACUGACACCUUACUAUCCAAUGACUUCCUACAGUGACACACAGUCCCUCACUGACCACUGGGCAACUUCUACUGAGUUCUAUCCCUGUGCAGCAUUGCUCCGAGGCUCCCUUCCCUACAGUCACCAUGAUUAAAGGAUCAGUAAAUCUCGAAAUCUUGGGACAAUAACUGAACCCACGGCCACACCCGUGCUAUUCCCAUCGACUAUGAUGUGUUGCAAUCCACAAUACCCAGUGUUUUAUCAUCACAGUUUUUCUAUAGGGACAUUGCAGACACCUUGUGUCAUGUAAACAUUAAAACCUGGAUAAAACUUUGUUUUGUUUU
Xenopus laevis (African clawed frog) is the source of this 3270-nucleotide long non-coding RNA. RefSeq lists it as uncharacterized. The transcript has 5 exons. Lineage: Eukaryota; Metazoa; Chordata; Amphibia; Anura; Pipidae. The record is from RefSeq and is a predicted model, not a curated record.